This 292-nucleotide ribosomal RNA is filed under the name uncultured bacterium. RNAcentral's name for it is "partial 16S ribosomal RNA". The record is from RNAcentral.
GGACUACUCGGGUAUCUAAUCCUGUUUGAUCCCCUUGCUUUCGCGCCUUAGCGUCAGGUAUAAGCUAGAAAACCGCCUUCGCCACCGGUGUUCUUCCACAUAUCUACGCAUUUCACCGCUACUUGUGGAAUUCCGUUUCCUCCGCCUACCCUCUAGAAUGAUAGUUUCAAAUGCUGUUCCGGGGUUGAGCCCCGGGAUUUCACAUCUGACUGUUCAUACCGCCUACGCGCCCUUUACGCCCAAUAAAUCCGAUUAAUGCUUGCACCCUCCGUAUUACCGCGGCUGCUGGCAC